GGUCCUAAGCUGAGGCCGACAGGCGUAGGCGAUGGAUAACAGGUUGAUAUUCCUGUACCACCUAUAAUCGUUUUAAUCGAUGGGGGGACGCAGUAGGAUAGGCGAAGCGUGCGAUUGGAUUGCACGUCUAAGCAGUAAGGCUGAGUAUUAGGCAAAUCCGGUACUCAUUAAGGCUGAGCUGUGAUGGGGAGAAGACAUUGUGUCUUCGAGUCGUUGAUUUCACACUGCCGAGAAAAGCCUCUAGAUAGAAAAUAGGUGCCCGUACCGCAAACCGACACAGGUAGUCAAGAUGAGAAUUCUAAGGUGAGCGAGCGAACUCUCGUUAAGGAACUCGGCAAAAUGACCCCGUAACUUCGGGAGAAGG
This 364-nucleotide ribosomal RNA is filed under the name Staphylococcus aureus. RNAcentral's name for it is "partial 23S ribosomal RNA". It matches the Rfam family "Bacterial large subunit ribosomal RNA", at positions 1387 to 1746 of the family's 2925-position model. The record is from RNAcentral. Lineage: Bacteria; Bacillati; Bacillota; Bacilli; Caryophanales; Staphylococcaceae.